GCUGGGGUACCGAAGCGGUCAAACGGGACAGACUGUAAAUCUGUUGGCAUUACGCCUUCGAUGGUUCGAGUCCAUCCCCCAGCA
This 84-nucleotide transfer RNA is filed under the name Candidatus Terrybacteria bacterium RIFCSPHIGHO2_01_FULL_43_35. RNAcentral describes it as "tRNA-Tyr". It matches the Rfam family "tRNA". From Rfam's summary of the family: Transfer RNA (tRNA) molecules are approximately 80 nucleotides in length. Their secondary structure includes four short double-helical elements and three loops (D, anti-codon, and T loops). Lineage: Bacteria; Candidatus Terryibacteriota. The record is from RNAcentral. RNAcentral also lists the same sequence under 2 other names.